This 1635-nucleotide unclassified non-coding RNA is filed under the name Hevea brasiliensis (rubber tree). The record is from RNAcentral. Lineage: Eukaryota; Viridiplantae; Streptophyta; Magnoliopsida; Malpighiales; Euphorbiaceae.
GUGUUAAUGACACGUAAGAAUAAAAUGUCUCAUGACAAAACUUCCCUAUAGGGGGGGGGGAAUCAGAACCUCAAAACUAUUUUUUAGAGUACUUGGAGAAUCAAGUUCUACCCAUGCUAAGAAAUACACAAACACCCAGUUAUAACUUGGGCAGUUACCAUCACAGCAAGUUCCCCACCAGGUCAAAUGGAUAUGUUCUGCCUUGAAUAAAAGCCAAAUCCAGAAGAAAGCUAUAUACAUAAUGUGACCCUAGAAAAUCCAAGAAUUCACCCAACUCUUCAAGCAUUUCUCAAAUUCAGUUCAACUGCACAAGUGACAUAUGGCAGUUGUCACAUGUUCGCUUGGCCCAUCAUAAGGAGUUGCACAAGCUGCACCUCUGCCUAAGCUUUACAGAAACAGAUAUUAAAAGUCAUCCAAGAAAGUUACCCACUUUCUCUCAUGCAAUUCCCAGGCAAGAGAAAUUUAUACUUAUCAGCAUUUUCUAAUAGAUAUGAUGGAAGAUGAACAGCUGAGUAGGAAUGAGGAAUUGGUCCCAUUUUUCCAAUGAUUUCCUUGAAUGUGUACUCCUCUGGAAACAUAUCAAAUAAAUCAGCACCCUCACAGAUUUUUCUCUGGAUUCUCUCAGGGUUCAAAAACCGCAACCGCUUGAAUCUGACUCUAUCAUAAUGGCUGUAAGCUCUCAUCUUGAAUAUAAACUCACUUAUAUGGCGAAAGCAAAAGCUGCAAUGCCAUCCUGCAUCUGCCAAAAUGUCAUCUGCCUGGCGAUAAUGAGCAUACCGCGUCUUGCCUGUCUGAUACCUGUGGAUUGAAGCUCUCCAGCUAUUAUUAUCCACGAGAAACUCAAAAGAAUAGAGAUAAUUCUUCAGUCGAAGGUGAAGAAUUGAAGGUAUGUCAUCACACCAUCUCAGGAGAUUUAUAGUAUGUCUGCUUGGUAUUUCAUCUACAUCUGACAUUAUCAACAAGUCAUCAUCAGAAAUCCCUGCUACUUUAAUAAGCUGAUCCAGUGCUACUCGCUGAUAUGCCUCCUCAACAAAUGGGUUCUCUCUUUUCCUAAAUCUCCCUCCAACAGUACCAUAAGUCAAUCUGGACUCAACAAAUUUGAAGUCGUCUCGAUGGUUGGCAAAAUAUAGAAGCUUUUCACUGCCAGUAAAUGUUGAAUUAGAUUCAAGAAGAAUGAACUGCGUGACAUAAGGGUACAAUUCUUUCCACCUUAACGUGAGGAUAUCCAGCUCAUUACUAAACAACACUGCAUCAUAAACACGUCUAGGAAAUUCACGAAUCUUCCAACCAUGGAGCUUGCAGAGAUUCUCCAUUGACACAUUCUCAUGAUAAUAAUGAGGGAUUUCAUUGAAGCUUCUUGGCGGUUUUUCCCAUAGUGGCCUCAGGAAGUAUGAGAUCUUCUGUCCAUGCACAUAAAUACCAAAGACACAUGUUGGCACGAGGAUGAAUAGAAAUAAAAUGGUCUUUAAAUCAAUGCUAUGGAGGAUACAGCGGAUUCUGGACAUGCUCAAAACUCGGCCAGAGUCCUGGCCACAAACAUCACCGCAGAUGUCAUCAGUCUUCUUGGAGCAGUAAUGUCCACCAUUUUCCCCCAUCAUCCCCCACAUUUUGCUUCUGUUUUUUUUUUUUUCCUUU